Long non-coding RNA from Olea europaea var. sylvestris, 723 nucleotides. RefSeq lists it as uncharacterized. NCBI's taxonomy places the organism in Eukaryota, Viridiplantae, Streptophyta, Magnoliopsida, Lamiales, Oleaceae. The record is from RefSeq and is a predicted model, not a curated record. The transcript has 2 exons.
AUUGAAUAUAAAGCCCACAUUGUAGUUCCCUUCCCCACAUUCUCAAACCCUGCGAACUCGUUGCGGGAGUGCUGCUGUGAUUCCAAAUUCCAGUAUGGCUGACUCACCAUAUUUUAAAGAGGAAGAAGAAGAAGAACAGAUUGAAGAAGCUAAAUUUGGUAAUCAAUCUCUCUUUCUUAAUCUUAUUAUUUAUGUUUUGAUAGUUAAUUAUGCAAAUAGCAAGAUUAGAUAUGGUGGUUGGAUUCAAAAACUGCGUGAAUGUUUUUGAUUGCUGUAGGCUAUAGCAUUCCACACUAUAAUUUAAAUUUUAAGCGCUUGAGUCCUUCCUUGUUUGUCAUUAUCUUUGAUUCUUUUUUAUGUUGAUGAUUGAUGGUUUGAAAAAAGAAUGAUAGAUUUAUUUUCGUUGGAUCAAAAAAGUUGAACGAAGCACUGAAGUAGACUUUCCAGGUUUCCCAUUUUUACUUCUAUGCUGUACUUUUAUUGAAUGAAGAAAAAAGGAAUUGAUCCUUUCGAAUUUUAGUUUGAUCCAAGUGCUUCAAGUGAUUGUUGACUUGGGUUUAUACUUGUAAAAGUCUCAGUAGUUGUUUCUUAUCGUACUUGUAAAAGUCUCAGUACUUUCCACUAUUUAUGCAAGCUUUGUUUGAUUUGUUGGAAGGAGGGUCGGAUAUGGUCCGAUUCGAUUCAGUUCUUGUUAGAAUCAAAAGGACUGGAAAUUUUUGGGUA